GAUGAACGCUGGCGGCGUGCCUAAUACAUGCAAGUCGAGCGAACAGACGAGGAGCUUGCGCCUCUGACGUUAGCGGCGGACGGGUGAGUAACACGUGGAUAACCUACCUAUAAGACUGGGAUAACUUCGGGAAACCGGCGCUAAUACCGGAUAAUAUCUUGCACCGCAUUGUUCAAUGGUGAAAGACGGUUUUGCUGUCACUUAUCGCUGGAUCCGCGCGGCAUUAGCUAGUUGUUACGGUAACCGCUUACCAAGGCAACGAUGCGUUGCCGACGUGAGAGGGUGGUAGGCCACAUGGGAACUGAGACACGGUCCAGACGCCUACGGGAGGCAGCAGUAGGGAAUCGUAGGCAAUGGGCGAAAGCCUGACGGAGCAAGGGCGAGUGAGUGAUGAAGGUCUUCGGAGCGGAAAGCUCGGUUAUGAGGGAAGAACAAAUGUGGAAGGAGCUGUGCACGGAUUGACGGUACCGGAUCAGAAAGCAACGGCUAACUACGUG
RNAcentral lists this ribosomal RNA (497 nucleotides) under uncultured bacterium. RNAcentral describes it as "partial 16S ribosomal RNA". It matches the Rfam family "Bacterial small subunit ribosomal RNA", at positions 28 to 507 of the family's 1533-position model. The record is from RNAcentral.